Molecule: long non-coding RNA, 1130 nt
Organism: Gasterosteus aculeatus aculeatus (three-spined stickleback)
Lineage: Eukaryota; Metazoa; Chordata; Actinopteri; Perciformes; Gasterosteidae
Source: Ensembl
GCGUGUGCGUGUCUGUGCGGGUCUGUGCGUGUCUGUGCGGGUCUGUGGGGGGGGGGGGCCCUAAACCGGAGCGCGCUGGCGGUCCGCCUCGCCUCGUCCUCGGUGUGACGGUGCAGCUGGCGGCUCAUCAGGGAACACGACGCAGACGCUCCGGUGGAGUCUGUUGACUUGUGUGAAAAGACGUGGAUGGACGUUCUCGUUGUUCGAAGAAGUCAGUUCGAGGACAGUUGGGUUUUUUUUUUUUGUCGAGGCUGUAAGAAGUCAUGAAGACUUUGUGAGGGAACUUGAUCACAUGAUGAGAUAUUACUUACGUUCACGCGACCUUCACACUUCCAGAAGUCUUUGUUAUGCAACCAGAGGAGUCGGCGCCCUGGUGGCCGUCUGAAGUACUGCACAGCGCACCUCUCUUCCCGCCGUGAUGCUCGAAUGCAAACGGAGAGAAGAGGCCCUGAAGGCCUCUGGUUCCCCGAUGGGAAGCUGCUCUCACGGGGAACCGGGAACCGUUUGGUCCGAGAGCCUCAAACUGAACCCUGCAGCCAAUUAGCCGCCGGCGGCGUGAAAUUUCACUUGCGACCCCGAGGACUUGGAAGUGGACCUUUUCUUAAGGCAUCUUUACACAUGUUUUGCGUGUGUGUGUGUGUGUGUGUGUGUUGGGGAGCUGUGACUGAUUCAACAUGACGAAGAGACUCGUGUUCACGCGACUUGCUUCUCUCACCUGACCCGGUGUGAAAUGAUUGUUGACCGUGUAAUCGCGCUCACUGACGGUGAUUUGUUUGUGUGUCGUUGUGCUCGUGUUUAAAUGAGCGAACUGUGCCGAUUGGACGACGAUGCUAAAUGAAGCCGCAAAUGACUGUAUUUUCCUAAAUGGCCCUAAAUACUCUUUCUAACAGUAAUUACUUGUUUCACGUUGGCUCCGUUUAAACAAAGCGCUGUUAAUCAGCUGUGCCGGGCGCCUGAGGUUCGGUGAAUGAACCGUCUCUGUGACCGGUGACACGUUUGGUGUUAUUGUGAGAAUUUUGGGUCACAGAUUCAGGAAUAUUCAGGUGAUUUAAAAAUAUUUUUGGGGCACUUUUGGGGCGGAAACGAGGUUGCAAGCAUUUAAAUCAAUUUAUAAGACCAGCUUUCAUGUG